UAGGGAAUAUUGGACAAUGGUUGAGAGACUGAUCCAGCCAUGCCGCGUGCAGGAAGAAGGCCUUCUGGGUCGUAAACUGCUUUUAUCAGGGGAUAAAAGAUCCCUGCGGGGAGAAUUGAAGGUACCUGGUGAAUAAGCCACGGCUAACUACGUGCCAGCAGCCGCGGUAAUACGUAGGUGGCAAGCGUUGUCCGGAUUUAUUGGGUUUAAAGGGUGCGUAGGCGGUUCCAUAAGUCAGUGGUGAAAUACGGCAGCUCAACUGUCGAGGUGCCAUUGAUACUGCGGAACUUGAGUACUGAUGAGGUAGGCGGAAUUGACGGUGUAGCGGUGAAAUGCUUAGAUAUCGUCAAGAACACCGAUAGCGAAGGCAGCUUACUAAGGAGUAACUGACGCUGAGGCA
RNAcentral lists this ribosomal RNA (400 nucleotides) under uncultured bacterium. RNAcentral's name for it is "bacterial SSU rRNA". It matches the Rfam family "Bacterial small subunit ribosomal RNA", at positions 355 to 753 of the family's 1533-position model. The record is from RNAcentral.